UUAUAUUGCAAAUAAUAUACUGUUUUUUUUUAAAUUAUGUGUCUAUCUCUAUUAUCACUGUCUAUAUAUACAUUAGAUUUAACAUGCUCUAUUAAUUAAUUAUAAAUACAGUGCAUAUUUUAAUUCCAUAUCGCUUGCAAGAAGUAUAUGAAGUUGAAACAAUAAUUUUUGUAACUACAUCUCUAUUAAGUUAUAAUCUCUUCAUAGUAAUAAAUUUGGUUUAGUCUUAACAUUAUAACUAUAGAGAUGUUCUACUAUACAUAUAAUAAGAAUACACCUUGAACGAUGUAUCCUUUAGAUUGUAUCAUUUCAUCGAGGUUUUUUAAGCUGCCAUAUAUACAUAUAUGGCCUCUAUAUAUAGCUUAUAUAAUUAACUUUAUAUUUUAAUUAACCUUUUUAAACUUUUAUCGAUUAUUUCGAGCGAAAAGAAAAAAAGUGAAUUAACAACCACACGGACGCCUUCUGUUGAGCAAUGUUUGCAACUCUUCAUGCAAAAAUAAUGUUUUCGAGUUGUAUAUAUCAGUUCCAAGAGACACAUUUGUUGGACAUCUUUCGACUAGUCACUAAAGAUAGUAUUGUCUGGUUUCACCCAAAUUGAAAUGAUACGUGCAUAACUGCGUAUGUGCCCUACUAACAUUUUGUUUCGAUCCGUUUAUAAUUUGAACUUUCUGACUUAAUUUUGAAUGGAUAAUUUGAACUUUAGAAGAAAAAGAAGGACCAAAAUAUAUUUAUAUAAUAUGUGCACACACACACACACACACCAUAUGCACAUCUAAAAUUUAUAUCUCAUUCUCAUUUCAUUUUUGUUUUUGGAAAACUUAUACCCAUUAAUUAGAAAACAGUCGCUGCAAAGUGAAAUCUGGAUUAGAGAUGAUACGAGCGUGAUGUAUAAUAUUUGCCGAUAAUGGUAUGAGUUAAGUUAAUUGCUGGAUGAUCGAUCGAUGUUAGAACAAGCCGAUAAACACACACACACAGAGAUAUGCUUUGGGGAAAAGUUUUUUUCAAAAAGAAAAUAAAAGAAAAAGUCAAUGUAUGUACCGCAUUAAAAAAAUUA
Molecule: long non-coding RNA, 1054 nt
Filed under: Citrus x clementina
Lineage: Eukaryota; Viridiplantae; Streptophyta; Magnoliopsida; Sapindales; Rutaceae
Description: Citrus clementina (C. clementina) long non-coding RNA (CCLE_LNC001247)
Source: RNAcentral